RNAcentral lists this ribosomal RNA (253 nucleotides) under uncultured bacterium. RNAcentral describes it as "partial 16S ribosomal RNA". It matches the Rfam family "Bacterial small subunit ribosomal RNA", at positions 524 to 776 of the family's 1533-position model. RNAcentral also lists the same sequence under 1 other name. The record is from RNAcentral.
UACAGAGGUCCCAAGCGUUGUUCGGAUUCACUGGGCGUAAAGGGUGCGUAGGCGGUCAUUUAAGUCUGACGUGAAAUCUCCGGGCCUAACCCGGAAACUGCGUUGGAAACUAUCUGACUAGAGGAAUGGAGGGGAGACUGGAAUACUUGGUGUAGCAGUGAAAUGCGUAGAUAUCAAGUGGAACACCAGUGGCGAAGGCGAGUCUCUGGACAUUUCCUGACGCUGAGGCACGAAAGCCAGGGGAGCAAACGGG